RNAcentral lists this ribosomal RNA (479 nucleotides) under uncultured bacterium. Its description in RNAcentral is "bacterial SSU rRNA". It matches the Rfam family "Bacterial small subunit ribosomal RNA", at positions 30 to 504 of the family's 1533-position model. The record is from RNAcentral.
UGAACGCUAGCGACAGGCCUAACACAUGCAAGUCGAGGGGUAACAGGGAAGCUUGCUUCCGCUGACGACCGGCGCACGGGUGCGUAACGCGUAUGAAACCUACCUUAUACUGGGGGAUAGCCCGAAGAAAUUCGGAUUAAUACCCCAUAAUAUAGUUGAUUGGCAUCGAUUAGCUAUUAAAACUCCGGUGGUAUAAGAUGGUCAUGCGUGACAUUAGCUAGUUGGUGAGGUAACGGCUCACCAAGGCAACGAUGUCUAGGGGUUCUGAGAGGAAGGUCCCCCACACUGGUACUGAGACACGGACCAGACUCCUACGGGAGGCAGCAGUGAGGAAUAUUGGUCAAUGGGCGCAAGCCUGAACCAGCCAUGUCGCGUGAAGGAAGAAGGUUCUAUGGAUUGUAAACUUCUUUUAUACGGGAAGAAUGUUCACUACGUGUAGUGAUUCGACGGUACCGUAUGAAUAAGCACCGGCUAACUCC